UGCCCGGUCUAAAAAGCCGGGAGAAUAAGCGGGGGGCAAGUCUGGUGUCAGCCGCCGCGGUAAUACCAGCUCCGCGAGUGGUCGGGGUGUUUACUGGGCUUAAAGCGCCCGUAGCCGGCCCGGCAAGUCGCUCCUGAAAUCCCAGGGCUCAACCCUGGGGCGGGGGGCGAUACUGCCGGGCUAGGGGGCGGAAGAGGCCGCCGGUACUCCGGGGGUAGGGGCGAAAUCCGUUAAUCCCCGGAGGACCACCAGUGGCGAAAGCGGGCGGCCAGAACGCGCCCGACGGUGAGGGGCGAAAGCCGGGGGAGCAAACCGGGCUCAGGUCGGCGUUGCACAGACAAUCUAAUCAUCCAGUCCCACCACGCGCGCCAACCCCCUCAUCUUUACCAAGCCAACCUGGCCCGGGCUCAAAGGGGAUUAGAUACCCCUGUAGUCCCGGCCGUAAACGAUGCGGGCUAGCUGUCGGCUGGGCUUAAGGCCCGGCCGGUGGCGA
This 493-nucleotide ribosomal RNA is filed under the name uncultured prokaryote. RNAcentral describes it as "bacterial SSU rRNA". It matches the Rfam family "Archaeal small subunit ribosomal RNA", at positions 408 to 804 of the family's 1478-position model. The record is from RNAcentral.